UGACAGCUAAGUCUGAUUGAUUUUUGAACAAGGCCAGUUUACUUCUAAUUUACUUGUUCUUUAUUUGAAUAGCUAGUUGGAAUUUCGCACUGAAAAUUAUCGUGCGACUAUUUUUUCCUAUCGGAUUGUGGAGCCACACAACGGAGAUAGAGGUUAGGUCCAGUAACAAGCUGCUCUUGACUCGGUUUAUAUCUUCCUUAAAGGAACUCCGUCCGGAUCUGCGUCGCCGUCAAUGAGGCAUGGAAUCGAAAAGGUCCUGCGACAAGUUCAUCUCCUUUGUCACGAUGGGAACGGAUUGGUUCUGCGGAGGAAAUUGAUCGAUUGGCUUCAUGAAGGAUGAGCAGGUUGUCAUCGCGCCGACGUCGCUCGUGCUAUUUCAAGCAGUCUUCUUCGUUCAACUCGGUCUUGGGCCGCUGGUCGCCAAUUCUCAGAAGUCGAAAGUCGCUUUUAAACUGGU
This is a long non-coding RNA of Sabethes cyaneus, 457 nucleotides long. RefSeq lists it as uncharacterized. The transcript has 3 exons. The record is from RefSeq and is a predicted model, not a curated record. NCBI's taxonomy places the organism in Eukaryota, Metazoa, Arthropoda, Insecta, Diptera, Culicidae.